RNAcentral lists this ribosomal RNA (441 nucleotides) under uncultured bacterium. RNAcentral describes it as "partial 16S ribosomal RNA". It matches the Rfam family "Bacterial small subunit ribosomal RNA", at positions 338 to 795 of the family's 1533-position model. The record is from RNAcentral.
CCUACGGGAGACAGCAGUGGGGGAUAUUGCACAAUGGGGGGAACCCUGAUGCAGCGACGCCGCGUGGGUGAAGGAGCGUUUCGGCGCGUAAAGCCCUAUCGGCAGGGAAGAAGGAGGACGGUACCUGACUAAGACGCCCCGGCUCACUACGUGCCAGCAGCCGCGGGCAUACGUAGGGGGCAAGCGUUAUCCGGAUUUACUGGGUGUAAGGGGGGCGCAGACGGCGGCGCAAGCCAGGAGUGAAAGCCCUGGGCCCAACCCCGGGACUGCUCUUGGAACUGGGGGGCUGGAGUGCAGGAGGGGCAGGCGGAAUUCCUGGUGUAGCGGUGAAAUGCGUAGAUAUCAGGAGGAACACCGGUGGCGAAGGCGGCCUGCUGGACUGCGACUGACGUUGAGGCCCGAAAGCGUGGGGAGCAAACAGGAUUAGAUACCCGAGUAGUC